CCUUCCCUUCCCUCAGAUCCAUCCUGACAGGGCUGUCAGUUCUUGUCACCGCUCCAAGUUUCUGGAAGUCUCCAGUCUGCUUUCAAUGAGAUCACUGUCAAAGCUUAUCCCUUUUAGCCUCAAAGCACAGCUAAACUUGAGACUGUCAUUUCUAAUGGCUCUCCACAGGUUUGAGGCUAACGUAAGAGGAUUACAGUGUAGAAAGGAAAUCUUAAGGACGGUGCCAGCUAUUCCUGCUCCUGGCAUUACUCAAUCUGACCACCUACAGGCUCUCUCCAUGGUCCCAACAUGGCUGCCAUGUUGCUGGGGCCCACUCCUUCUUUGAGAACCCCCCCAAGCCUCUCCCCACCUUCGCCUCCCAUCCAUAGUGACAGGAUGAGGGAAUGCAUGCCUUCUUAUCAUCAUCACCAUCACCUGGCCAGAAAUGCACUUCACCUACAGGGAAAUAGCUUUCUCUCACAAUUGCUGAAUGCUGAGAGUCUUCGCUGGAAGCAGUUGUGCCAGCAAAAAUCUCAUCAGAUUGUUUAGCCCCUAAGAACAGAGGAAGAACCUACCCUUAAGACUGAGUUAGACCUCCAGAAACAGAGCCCCAUUUAACAAUACCUCAUUUGUCCCUGGCCCAGUGAAUUGAUGAGGCUGUGGGUUGUGCUCCAUACGUGUAGGAGAAGCGAAGGGCCUGGGAACCAGGCACUGGGAAGCUCGCAAUCCAUGCAGGAGGUUCCAAGGAGGCUCCCAGGGGCCAGGUCCCGAGGAUGAGUCACACCACCGAGCCAGACCCAGGAAAACAAGGUAAAAAUUUCCCAAGGGGUUUCUACAAGAUUUCCAGCACUUCCUAAAUUAGCCCUGACCAGUAAAACCACGAGAGAAGACUUCCUGGCAGAGCCUGGCACUUCCAUUUCCAGUCCCAACCGAAAGCAGGAAGCAUUGAGACAAGUAAUAAUUCAACUCUUCAGUUGGCUUCCAAAAUUAUCCACAUUCAGGUCACCUGGCAUUCGCACCAAAGUAUAAGAGGCUUUAUUGACUACAGUGCAAACUAAGCAUGAAGAAGAAACAAUCACUUGAAAACACCAAAGACCCUUACAUAGCAAAAGUUAAGAAAUAAAUUAAGACUCCUGUGGGGCUACGCCUGGGAGGAAGGGCAGGCCUCAUUCACUUCGAUCCUUGGGUUCUCGGUAUUUCCACUGGAUGUAGUCAAAGAUGUCUUUCUCACUAGCCACUGGCAGGGGCUCUCCAGCAACCCCCGUGACUCCCAAGGGACGGAUUGUGUACUCGUUGAUCAUGAAGCCCUUUUCUAGCGCAUGAGCUCUCAUAUUAUUAUUGAAAAUAUAACUCCCGGUGAAAUAGAGAACACCACAGUAAUACUAGUCCUUGGGUAUUAAUCUGAUACCAAUUCUCCUGCGUGGAUACUCCUUUUCAUCAUUUUUACUGGGAAGCUGGCAAACACCCAUGAACUUAGUUUCACCUUUUGACAGUAUCUGUAAUAAAAUGGACCUUACUGCUCCACAACACUAUGCAACAGCUUUGGCUGUUUGGUUGAUUCAGAGGUAAAGCUUGGAUGGGUCAGAAGAACAUCCAUGUCGCCACUGGACGCUGCACCUCUUCUGAAACUGCCACAGACUGUAACAAUGUAUUCAGAAUCCACUUUUUUAACUUCAUUUAGUACAAUAUCUUGCAUUUGUAACAUCUCUUCACGAGGAAUUCUUUUCUCAAAGUCCUCAAAAUAUUUCAGCCCAAUUCGUUGAUGAUGGUUCAAUUUGUCUUCAUUUUUUCUUGAGAUCUUCUAAUGUUUUAAUUCCUUCGUCUACAAACUUCCUCGCAGCAGAUGGACCAAUGCCACUAACUCGAGUCAGGAAAUUGAUGGAUGAACUCAUAUCAUCCUGCCGAGUCUUUUCCAGUCGCUAAAAACUCAUCAAUCUUCUCAGCAAUUUUUGUUCCUACUCCAGGCAAUUUCUUAGCUUCCGCUCCACUCUUUAUUUUGUGUAUUUUGCUAUCACAGAUGCUGCUUUUUGUAAGUAUUGCACUUGCGGAUUGCCUGGUUCACAUUCUUCUCAAAGUUUGCGAGUUCUGUGAGCAUGUCGGUGAUUCCCUCGUUGAGAGUCUCCUGUGGCGCCUUCCGUUUGCUCCUGAUGGCCUGCGCCUGAGGGCCGCGGAGGGCUCAGAGCCAGGGACUGUCCCCCUCCAGCUUUAAGGUGGGGCCGGGACCCGAAGAGGGCGUAGCACCCACCCACCCGGGAAAGCCUGCGCGACGCGCGGAACAAUGGCUGCCUCUGACAGGAGGCGCGGCGCGCGGCACCUGGUGACAUAAUUUGUUAGAAUGUUAUCCUCACUACUAAAUUUCUAAAUCUCUUGGUAAAAUGUAUCUGUAUAACACCAUUUUUGUAAUUGUUAAUUUCUACUGUAUCUCUUUUAUAUCUGAUUUCUCAUUUAUAUGUUUUCUUCUGCGUGUUUCUAUUUUUCCCUUAAUUUAAUUUUUCUGAAAUAGUAAUUUUUUAUUUUCAAAUAAUUAA
RNAcentral lists this long non-coding RNA (2507 nucleotides) under Equus asinus (donkey). RNAcentral describes it as "lncRNA (ENSEASG00005037989.1)". The record is from RNAcentral. Lineage: Eukaryota; Metazoa; Chordata; Mammalia; Perissodactyla; Equidae.